This 544-nucleotide ribosomal RNA is filed under the name Arthrobacter sp. E5. RNAcentral's name for it is "bacterial SSU rRNA". It matches the Rfam family "Bacterial small subunit ribosomal RNA", at positions 353 to 906 of the family's 1533-position model. The record is from RNAcentral. Lineage: Bacteria; Bacillati; Actinomycetota; Actinomycetes; Micrococcales; Micrococcaceae.
AGUGGGGAAUAUUGCACAAUGGGCGCAAGCCUGAUGCAGCGACGCCGCGUGAGGGAUGACGGCCUUCGGGUUGUAAACCUCUUUUCAGUAGGGAAGAAGCGUAAGUGACGGUACCUGCAGAAGAAGCGCCGGCUAACUACGUGCCAGCAGCCGCGGUAAUACGUAGGGCGCAAGCGUUAUCCGGAAUUAUUGGGCGUAAAGAGCUCGUAGGCGGUUUGUCGCGUCUGCUGUGAAAGACCGGGGCUCAACUCCGGUUCUGCAGUGGGUACGGGCAGACUAGAGUGCAGUAGGGGAGACUGGAAUUCCUGGUGUAGCGGUGAAAUGCGCAGAUAUCAGGAGGAACACCGAUGGCGAAGGCAGGUCUCUGGGCUGUAACUGACGCUGAGGAGCGAAAGCAUGGGGAGCGAACAGGAUUAGAUACCCUGGUAGUCCAUGCCGUAAACGUUGGGCACUAGGUGUGGGGGACAUUCCACGUUUUCCGCGCCGUAGCUAACGCAUUAAGUGCCCCGCCUGGGGAGUACGGCCGCAAGGCUAAAACUCAAAG